GGAGGGGUGGCAGAGUGGUUGAAUGCGGCGGUCUCGAAAACCGUUAGGCGGGUUUCCCCCGUCUCGAGGGUUCGAAUCCCUCCCCCUCCGCCA
Molecule: transfer RNA, 93 nt
Filed under: Aeromicrobium sp.
Lineage: Bacteria; Bacillati; Actinomycetota; Actinomycetes; Propionibacteriales; Nocardioidaceae
Description: tRNA-Ser
Rfam family: tRNA
About the family: Transfer RNA (tRNA) molecules are approximately 80 nucleotides in length. Their secondary structure includes four short double-helical elements and three loops (D, anti-codon, and T loops).
Source: RNAcentral